AUAAAUUUGAAGAAAUUAACUAACUUUCUAUGCAUCUGGACGAAGAGCGUGUGGCUGGAUGUGCUUAUUCUGUCUAUGCAAGUCUUCCUGCAGGUUGGUGUUUAAGCUAUACUUGUGUGAAUCGAGACCGCCAUCCCAUGGUUGCUCUCAGAUUUGUUCUCAGAGAGAGAAAUGGCUGUUACCCCCCGCCCACCUUUCUUUACAGGGUGGUUGUACUGAAACAAAAGACCACGUCCUUCAUAUAUUCAGCGCUGUGUUUUGACAUGCUGUGUAUUGAGUUAAACCUCUUCCCAGCUGCCAAAAAACCUUCAACUUCACUUACCUAUGGCACGUAACUUUCAGUGCUCUGAAAAGUUAUCGAAGGGCAGGAGGGCACAGGAAAAGAAUAAAACAAAGAGAUUUUACAGCCAGACUACAGUGAACCUGCAGUAUAGUUAUACUGGUACCAUAAAGGAAUCAUUUCGGAUGCUGCUACUUUUGUUUGCCAAGGUAAAUGCUAUAGCAGAGCUAUGGCCAAAUGAAUUCCUGAAAGUAAUCUUUAUUUGGUAAAGAGACAAACUAUGAUGCUACAGUAAUUUUGUAUUGCAGUACUUCACUAUGCUGUAGUUUCUCACAGGGGAGGGUUGAAUACCUAAUGUUGUUUAGGGAGCCAUGAUAGCUUUUACAUUUUUACAGAUGCUUUCUAAAAUAAGCUAACAUCACCUGCUUGUUUUCCAAGCAUUCUCUGCAGAAUGGCUUUAGUGCACUCUUAAUACAACAGUUUCUGUCUUCAGUAGGAAUCCUCAAAGUAAAUCCUGGCAAUGGGAGAGAAGGACAGAAUAGCUUUCUGUUUCUGAAAGGGAAAUAGCUGUUUGCUUGAGACUACUUACUGGUAUGUGUCCCACUUGAAAUGUUGUGUGCUCCUGCCAAGUUUUACAGGGUGUUUAUUUAAUAUGAGUUUCUGCUGAAUGUGUAAAUUUUCUUGACUACGUUGUGCCUGACAUAUCCAUAUGUGAAACUUAAGAGGGCUGGUCUGCACAGGAACAAUCCAUAAAUGUAAGGAAAUUGGCUGAACACAUAAAGUCAAUACACCUAAAUUACUCUAUCUUAAACUCUCCUGUGGAUAAUUUCUUUCUGGAGUAGAGUGAUUUCAUUUUAUUGCAUAGUAAGCCAAAAGGUAAAAUUACUUCACAACUGAAUGAGAACAUCCACGCUGUGUAACUGACUGUAAUUGAGGGUGUUUGCAAACAUCCUCUGGUUAAUCUACAUUCUGGUUAAACUGAGCUAAGAAACCUGCUUCCCAAACCGUCAUCAUUCAGAAGGCAAAGGCUGCUGCCUUUACCUAUACAGCCAGCUAUCUAAGGACUCUGUCCUGUUUCAGUACAAAUUUAGGCAAACCGCAUUAAUAAUUAUUAAUAACUAAGUCACAUAAUUUGCUUAGAAGCUUUGAAGAAGUGCUCUACUGGCUGAAUUGGUAGAAUAAUGUGCAUUAGGUGAUGUAGAAACUAUCAGCUGACAAAGCAGGAGAUAAAAAAUUUUGUGCUGCUGUGAAUGAAGGUGAUUUUCUUCAUUCUCCAUUGUUCUUUUGUUUUCACUAUCGCCGCGUGGUCCGAACCAGAAUUGACAGCAUCCUCUCCUUAUCAUUUACCAAAAUUCCUUGAAACUCAUCUUGUUCAUUUCGCUUUGGGUUAUCUUGAAAAAUGCUAUUGCAAAUGUGAUUAACUGUGCUCCUAAAACGGAAUUCUUUUCUUCAGAAUAUGAUGUCAUUCUUCAGUGCUGCUUAGAUGUAGGAGAAUUAGAAGGACAUUGAGUGCAGUUAAUUCCAUUGAUUGUUAACAGCACAAAUGACACAAUCUAUUUAUUGUAUUCUUCACCUAGUUCAUGGCCAUAGCCUUGCUUAAAUAUGGUAAUAUUUCUAACACCUACACUCAUCCAGUGAUCAGGAGCCAUUGUGCUUUAGGUCAAAAAUAGGUUCCCACAUCUGACAUCCUGAAUAUGUUGUUUAUUGUUGUUGUAUAUGAAGCAGGUACAGACAGGCCAGGACAAUAAUUACAUUUAUUAAUAGUCAAAUUUUAUCCAGAUAUGGAAUUUGUGAAUAUACAACACUGCUUUAUUGACAUACCUUGUCAAGUGGUGAAAACUGUAAGUAUAAUGUCCUCACUGAAGAAGAUUGAACCAGUGAAUUAUUCUAUUAGUAGAGUACGUAAUUUUUGUACGGAUAAAGCACGUAUUUGAUUUCCUAUGCUUGAAAUCACAUUUUAAAAUACUAAUAUUGCAAUACAGCCAGUAGGUGGCGAUAGCCAUUUAAUUUAUUAAACUAUGUCAGCUCCCCAGCUCACGCUCUAGUGUUGGUACUCACGUUACCUUUGAGCCUUACAAAAAAAGAAAUUAAAAAAAUCACUCUUGAAGAGUCUUUCUGAGUGUACUCUCAACUUUGUAGUUGAAGGAUUUGCUGUGCAGGGAAAUGCAACAGCAUUUGUCGGAGCAGUGUCAGAGUCACGUCAAUUUAAGCUCCGGUUUCCUGUUCUUCUAUAUAUUGAAAGUAUUAGCUUAUUAUGCAUUUUUCCUUACAUUAUAUAUAUGUUUAUGAUGUAUUCUUUAGCAACUAGGAGCAAAUGUUCCCAAGGCCUUUUUUUUUUUUUUUUUUCUGUGGCAUGUAUAUAUGCCUUUGUACUUAGAGUCAGGGAGCCACUUGAAAGCUGUAGAUUGUAUGCAGAUACCCACUGGUAGUAUAGGUGCAAUAUCAUAUAAGAUAAAAAAUUAGAUUUAUUUUCUCUGAAUGAUACAGAAUGUUAUUAUUGGUAGGAUAUGAAGAAGAAAAGGCUUGUGUAUAGUUCUUAAAAGUGUUUAGAGUACAAUAGCAGUGAUAGUUGGGAGUCUGUUUAGGACAAAGCCAUGAGGGGUUUUCUCAGAUUAGUGAGACAUUACUCUUAUAAAAUGUUAUGCAAUGCUAUUUUGAUUAACUGUGUGUUAAAAAAAUCUAGUCCUUGACUUGUCAAUAGAUUGGUUUUGUUUUCUGCAAAUAGACAUCAGGUGGCUCUGCUGCUUGAACCAAAUGUUCAGCUUUAUCUUCAGCCAGAAAUUUAAUAUGAAAUGAGAGUGAAAGAGAACGUCCAUGAAAGAAGAGGAUAAACAGGAGGCAGAUGGUCCAUGUGUGUAACUUGCAUUGCCAGAUAGUGGAUUAAGAUGAUCUUUUUGAAUGCUACUUCACAACCUUAGAGCAACUGAGAGAAGUUAGGUUUCCAUUAGCUAUUGAAUGAGAAAAUUUAUUCCAGUCUUCAUAAGAACAUCUCCCAUUUCCUGAACUAGAGGAGAAGAUGCUAAUCUAAAGAGUGACCUAGAAGCAGUGUAAGUAGAGGGAAGCACAAAAGUGCCAUCUCCCUGCAUGGUUCUAUCAAACCCAUUUACCAUACUGAUCAGAGACUGAGUCAGAGCUAGAAAGCAGAUGAAAUUCACAGGAAAACCAUUUGAGCAGUCAAUAAUUUUGCAGUUCGCAACAAUGCAUUAGAACUGUUUCUUCAGCCACAGUGUUGUAGGAUGGUUCCCCUGACUGGAGGGCUAUGAUGAAUUGUGCUCUGUAUAACAAAGUAGCUCAGAUGCAAGGAGCUUUGCUAUGAAAAGGACAAGUCUGUCAGCAGUUUAUGGGAUCAGAAGGGAGGCCAUGAAGCAGACAUAGUGAUAGGAUUCUGCUACUGGUUGCCCAGACAAGAAAAACAUAGCCUUCCUUAAACAAUUGGAAUAAGUCCCAUAGGCCCUGCUUCUCAAAUGGAGUCUUGAAUCAUUCUGACAUCUGCUGGAUGGACAUCACAUCAGGGAACAGGUAGCUGAUGAGAUUUCUGGAGUACAUGGGGGACAAUUUUGCGGUUCACUUAGGUAGACUGACUAGAAGGGCUCCACUGACCUGACCUUCUGAAUAUGUAAGAGCUGGUACAGAAUGAGAAAGCUUGACAGCAGACUUGGCUACAGUGACCAUAAAAAGAUGUUAAAGGAAUUAAGGAAAGGGAAUAGUAGUCUGACAGCUUAGGACUUUGUGGGCUUUUUCAGGGAAUUAGCAGGAAGGAUCUCGUGAGAGGUUGAAGGGCAAAUAUGCCCAGGAGAACUGGCUAGACAUCAAGGAUAUUCUAUUUAAAUCAGAAUAAAGAAAGAAAGAAAGAGAGAGAGAGAGAGAGAGAAAGAAAGAAAGAAUGGAAAAGCAAAAGAUAGCCUAAGCGUAGAAAAGAAAUGGAUAGAAGCUAGUAGCUGGAAGCGGGGUCAAGCCACCUGUAAGAAAUUAGGAAGUAUCACCUGGGUAUACAAUGAGGACCUCGAAUGGGAUAGGCAGUCUUGUACCAAAGGAUACAAACAAGUUCAGUGUCAUCAUUGCCUUGGUUUUUACUAGCAAGCUCUCCUCUCAGAUUUAUCAGGCUCCUUUUGUUCAGUAGCAAAACUUGAGAGAAAGAGGUAUUACAAAUGGUAAAGGACAAUCAAGUUAGAAACUACUUAAACUGGAAGUACUGAAGUUGAUAGGCCUGGAUAGGAUUAAUGCAUUUCAAGGUGCUGAGGAAGUUGGCAGAUGUCAUUACCAGGUACCUCUCUUUUAUCAUCCAAAGGUUAUGGUGAACACAGCUGUUGGGUGAGUUGAGAAAGAGAAAUGUCAUGCUCGUCUUCAGAAGUGGUAGGAGAAGAGAUCUGGAAACCAAAGGGUGGUGAGCCUUACCUCAGCCUGUUAGAAUCAUAGAAUCAUAGAAUCGCUCAGGUUGGAAAAGAUGUUAAAGAUCAUCAAGUCCAACCACAACCAUAUUACCCUAACUCUAACAACCCUCCACUAAAUCAUGUCCCUGAGCACAACGUCCAAAUGGUUUUUGUAAACCUUUUCCAGUCACAUAAAGAGAAGAAAGGUAAAUGGAAAGUGCUAGUGUGGAUUUAUUGUGCCUGGCAAUCCUGAUUACUUUCCAUGGUGAGAUGAUUGGUUCUAUGGAUAAGAGUAGUGCCUGUAGAUUACCUUGAUUCUAGCUAGAUCUUUGUUCUAGUUUGUUAGAAAUUCUUAUAGACAAACAGAAGAGGUAUGAACUGGACAGCUAGACUACGAAGCUAGUGAUAAACUGGCUGGAUUGUUUGGUUUGAGGUGUAGAGGUCAGUACUUAAAAGUUUAAAUGACAACCAGUUGAAGAUGCAUCCCUCAAGUGUUGAUGCUAGAGAAAUUGUUUUUUAACAUCUUUAUCAACAAUCUUGCUGAUGGGGUAGGAUUUUGCUUUCAUGAACAACACCAAACUGGAGUGAGCAAUUAAUACCCUGCAGGGCUGGGCUGUCACUUGGAGGAACUUUGACAGCUAGAGAAAUGGGGCUGGUAGAGACAUCAUGAAUAUAAACAAAGUCCUGCACCUGUGAUGGAGUGAUGUCGUGCAUCCAUAGGGAUAACAGCUCUGCAGGAAGGCACGCUACAGACAAGUUGAACACAAGGGAGCUUUGUACCCUUAGGUGAUGAAGACCAACCAUCUAUUGGGCUAAGGUAGUAAAAGUAUAUCAAUCAAGCUAAAGGUAGUGAUUAUUCACGUUUCAUGUUUGAGACCACAUUUGAAAUACCUUUCCUAGCUUCAGGUUCCUUGGUACCAGCAAGAUAUUGAUUGACAAAGCGUGAACAUACGCAUGAAAAACUGAUGAGCAGAUAAACUGAUUGUUUUGUCUGGAUAAGGGUAAGGGUCAAUGAGUCUAACUGCUAUCUGAGGAGGCUUAGGAAACUCCAUGCCAGAGGACUUUUUGAAACAACAUAUUUAACUUGCAGUUGGCUCUACUUUGAGUAGGAGAGGGCACUUGGUGAUCUUCAGAGGUCCCUUUCAAUACAUUUUCUUCUGUGAGUGAAUGAUUAUCUUAAUAUGAGGCCUUAAUGCGAUUACUGGCAAGCUAGAUAUGUUUCAUAGAAAUCAUUAAAAUUAAAAAAAAAAAAAAAAAGUGUAAUUCUUCAUCAAAGUCUCCAGGUAAUGAAGACAGUGAGCAGUCUGCAUUUAUUAAUCAUGCUUACCUAUAGCCAAAGCAGAAAAUAUUUCAAAUAUCUAUCAGUGCCCUGAGCACACUAAUGGCUUGAGGGUACUAAUGCCCUGUCCCUGUCCACUGCUGAGGCUCCCUCACAUGGCCAGGAUCACCACGUCAUCCCGGCGCCACUCACCCCUGCCCCAGUAAGGCAGCAGGGAUGGGCUCCAGCUCCCCACAACCCUGCCCUGCCUGACCAUAGUCUGAUGCAGUUUCCGAAGGGCCGUGAAGGUUGCCAUGAGCACCAAGAGUACUUUUUUGUUGUUGGAAUUUUAUUUUAUUUUUUACUUCUGCUGUUGUGGCUAUUUGAGUUUAUGUCAAUAGUUUAAAUGCAUGGUGGAGUAAGAAGUUGAACAUGGCUCUCCCGUGCCCUUUCUGAAGGUUUUAAACACUGAGCUGUAAAAUCAUUAUGAAGGGAAAAGUAAAAUUAGUAUGCAAAGUUUCUUUCUCAGGACUAUACACAGUGAUUAUAUCCCUUUUACAUACUGCUAACACAGAGCUCAUACGUAUACCAACGCUGUGGUAGAAAUUUGUCUUUGAUUGCGUUAAUUUCUUUUCAUUGAAAACUUUGGGCGUUUCUCAGAGAGAAAAACAUCUCAAAUAUAUUUAUGAGCUGGGGAUUUUCUUUCCCAGGCGGUUUGCCUUGCAGAAAAGAUGAUCUCAUUUGCUGAGCCAUGCUGCCAGCAUUCUUCCUUUUCAUGAAAGGAAAUUAUGGCUCCUGUGAAAGUGUCACAAAUGACACGGAGGGUUGGCAGCACAGAAUCAUUAUUGCUUGUUGAGUAAACAUUUUCAAGCAGAGAAUAAAUAAAUCCUCAUCAUAACUGAGGAUUUGGAGAGGGGUAAUAGAGAACUGUAUUAGGACAUUGUUAGCAUUUAAAUGUGCCUGUUACCAAGCUAUAGCAAAAUUAACUACCGUGACUACCAUUACACUGUCUUGCAACACUUGUCUUGUGCCCCCUCCCCGGCGCUCCUUGGCCCCCUAAUUUUUCCCACAGAGCUGGGUGGUGUUUCCCACCCGGCCUUUGCCCCCAGCAGCAAAGAGAGGCAUCUCUGUCUGCUGACUGAGCUCCCUAUAGCCCCUUCCAAACUUGCAGGGAAUUUCUCUGCACAAAGGGUGGCUCAGAGCUGGCAGGUGUGGGGUGCGGGUGGCUAGGAAUGGGGGGAAUGUGAUUAUGUGUCAGGGAGGUGCAGGAGGGGAAGGCUUCUCUUCUGCUGUGUGCUACAGGCUUCACCACGUGCUGCUGACCUCAGCACAAGAUCAGCUCACAAUGUAAAGACCCCUACCUGUCUCAUUUUCAAAAGGUUUUAUUGAGUUUUACUACUCUGAUGGUAUUGGGUAUAUGUAAAUUUUAUAGAAGAGUCACAUGGUGACUCCUACAAUUGAAGUGACUUUUCUUUUAUUGUUCUUUUAUUUUCUGCCCAAAUGAACACGUUAUUUGGGAGUGUGCUAGUGACUGGUAUCUCUGACAGUAUGACAGUGAACUACUUGCCUGACCUUAAAACAGCGACUGCAUUAUGUUGGUACAAGUUCCUGCUAUACUGUUAGUGGUUUGCAUGCUUGAAUUCACACUUUGCAAGGCUUUGAAGAAGUGGCAGUUCACACAAGAUUGCAGGGGAUGAAAGAUGACCUUUAAAAGUCUCAGUGAAGCAGCACAGCAUACUUUCUAACUAGAAUGGAUGUUCAUACAGGCUGAUGACCUGGAGGUGAGAGCACAGAUUUUGUCUUGGGUGCUGGCUAGCAGAAAGAUCUUAGUGCAUGAGCUUUUUAUUUAGGAAUUCAUUUUUCUAGGGGGUCCUUAGGAAUGGAACAUCACUCUCCUUAAGGCGUGUCUGAAACUGCAGCUGUUCAUCCAGUUUAUUGCACUUCCAGAGGCCGAAAGUUUGCUUUUUGUAGCUUAGAAAACCUCUUUGUAGGUUUUCUAUGUCCGGCAGUUGACUGAUGGUCAUCGUUUUCUCCAUUGUCCCAUUAAUGCUCAAAGGCUUUAAUUUGGAGAUAUUUUAUUUUUUUAUUAUUUUAUCUUUAUAAGGAAAAACAAUGAUAGAGAGCUUAAGGCUGUACAUGUCUUUCUAAACCCAGUAGGACCAGUUUUCUGAACUCUAGCUCUGUCACCAAGAUCAUGGGCAGACUCUGGUCCAAAUUUCUUACAGCCAGCUCCCUCUGAAGCAUGUGUCCUGGAUUCAGGCAGCUGGAGUGGUGCAAACCAAAGCAGAGGAGGAGGCUGCCAUCUAAGCAGUGUGAAGUCCACUGCAUGAGCCUGCUCAGCUUGUUUGGUUGUUUUUGUGUUGCUGUCUUUUUUAGUAUUUAUUUUUUUACUUAGCAGUGUCAACAAACCUUAAGAAAACAGACAAAAUAUGUAUCACUUUUAUUCUGCCAGUACAUACAAAAUGCCACCUCUGAAUGUAUUUGUACCACUUGCAAGGCAGCGUACCUAGUAGAUGUCAAUACAAGCUCAGUUGGACUAUCCAUAAGAAAUGAUUAUUGUAUAAUUGUAGUAUCUUACGCUGAAGGACCGGAGUGAUGGCUGCACUCAGUUUUUCAUAAAUGAAAACCUACUGCACUAAAUGAGACGGUUAAUUCACCAAAGCAUGUUUACUGUGGAAUUCACACCCAACUGCAGCAUAUGUAUGUUACUAUUACAUAAUGAAUAAAUUAUUAUGAGCUGCGACCCCCAGAGGCAUCCAGGUGCCUGAGUGUCUCCCCUCCAGUGAGUGAACUGCAGCCACUUUGACUGGUGGUAGCUGGUGCUUAGCAUACCCAGCUCAGAAGUAAGUCUCCAGGCAUCCAUAAGAGGCUUUCCAGUAAACAAGAUAGCCCCUCUAAUGAUGAAUGAGUUCUUCUUUAUUCUUAUGGCUUGAGGUAUUUAUCUUCUUGCAUCACUUUCUGAUUUCCAGUGCUAUAGUAAGACUGCUGUAAUUUGCAAUGUAAGAGUAGUGUGAAGCUCAGUUUGUUCUGUUUAAUAUAGUGUGUGGACUGAAAUUCAAGUAGAUAGCAAUAUUUCAAAGCAAAUAAAUACAUCUGUGUAAGUCAAGUCAAAUGCUAAAGCAUAAUCAGUCUCAAAGUGAAGUAUCAUUUGACCAGUGAAUGAAUUCACCAAGCUGCUAACAGUGAAGAAAUUGGAGUUCCUUGGUACACGAAAGUUUAUUGCCUAGAGAUGAUAGUGCUUGUCUCCCUGUGGACUUGUGGGGAAAAGCCUCACAUCAGCCUCACAUAUGCUAAUAAAGAUCAAUAUUUCUUAUUUUCUCUUCUCAUAGUAAGGAAAUUAAUCCACGGUGUUACUUUAGAAAAAUAACCCAAGUGGUAGAUUUGGGCAGAGAAAUUCUUACCUACACCUCAGUUUUAUUCCACAGGAAGCCUAGUGAUUACUGCUUUGCUAAUGCAUGAGCUUAUUUGGAAAAGCAGCUUUGAGCAUGCAUAUGAAAUGGUAGCCACCCUUUGCCACUGCAUGGGCCAUUCUACUCUCAGCCCUUUGUUUUAGUAAAUAUGUUCCCAGUGGGGCAAAAUUCUUGCCAAGCCUCUUAGAAGGUGUCCUUAUACCCAUACUUCAGUUUUCCACAUAGACUUUUUUUUUUUUUCUUUUUCCCCUCAACUGUUUGUUGUUAAUACAGCUUCAGGUUUCCAUUAGUACAAUAUUUGAGUGUCUCAGUCUAAAGUGUGUUUAUUUUUUCAGGUCCACGUGAAACAGGGAAGGCUCUCUGAUAUUUCUUUUCAGGUCAUACUUUGGUGGGGAGAGAAUAGAAACACAGAGAAGCUCAGAUUCUACAAUACAGUGAGGUGCCAGACUCCUACGUGUCAGAAAUUCCUCCGUGUGUUGGAGGGUCUGAGCAUGGCUUGGUUCACAUCACAAAGAAAGCAUGUGGCAGACUGGGGAAUGCAGACAAUGAAUUGGCCUGCUGUGCCUCCAGUGAAAAUGGGCUUGGAGGGCACGCAUUUAAUGACCGUCCAGAAACAAGAAGCAAAGGCAGUGAGCAGGAGGGUUUGGAAAAGAGUAGUGCAUUUCUUACGUAGGGUCUUUACUGGAUCAAACUAAGGUGUGGCUGUACCUGUCAGCAUGAAUUGUUACUGCACUCGGAAGAGGCUGUUCAUUGGAAGAUACUCAAAUUAAAAACAGAGUCCUGUAUUUUCAAGAACUGCAGGGCAAAGGGAAAGAAUAUUCAUACCAAACAUUUUUAACAUACAUAUAUUGGUAUUAUUGGCCCUAGCUCCUGACUCAGUGACAAAAGCAUAUGUGCAUAAAGUGAUUUCUUUGAGGUAAAGUUCAUUAUUCAGUCUGCGCAUGCUGAAUGUCUUGUGUUAACCUUCUCUUUAAGCUUAAGAGUAGACCUGCCACAGUCUCCAUACAUCUUGCCUUUCCUUUUGAAUCACAAAGGAUUCACUUCACUUAUAACAGCCCGACUAAACGUGGUGCAAUUCCAACACUACAAUAUAUAUAUGUAUAUAUAUAUAUAUUUAUAUAUAUAGUAUAUAUAUAAAAGAUGUAUCAAGUUUUUAAAAGAAAUUUCUGGAAGCUUAAACAUAGGAAUGAAGGAAUGAAGACUCAGGGCUUUGUGCAAAGCCCCGGGGACAGCCUGCGACUUUGCUGGAACAAAAGUUUCACUAUAAAUACAUUGCGAAAAGCAAACAUAAUGUAGAUAGGUUCAUUGUAUUUCUCUUGCACCUUCUCGCUUUUGUUUAAGUUUAAACCAAUCUUUUGGAACUAUGAGUCAUUUUCAGAACAGAGAGUGAUUCAGGAGAUGUAAUCUUUGUGUUUUAUAGGCCAGCAUCAUUAGAUAGGCCCUAUGCAAAUUAACAGAAACGUCGCUGAACAACAGUGACUGGCUUACCAUGUAUUUAUGGUUGCUUCUAACUCUCAGCCAGAAAACAUAAAUGUCUCUCUGGUGGAAACGUGUUUGGUGAGCAAUAACCCUCUCAGUUGGAGAAGAUCCAUCUGUCUUCCCUUCUACUUCAUGCAUCUUCACCACUGAAAAGAAGUUCAAGGAAAAUCAAGUUUCAGUUGUCAAAAAACCUGAUGCUUAAGAAUGAUUCUGUGAAAUAGACCAAAAAAAAAAGCAGCUGAAUAUUUUGUGGCUUAAUUUCAAGAUUCCCAUCGGUGCUAUAAAAAUACAAUUGAGUUUUAACUACUGCCUUCAUGCUAUCAAGAUGAUCCUGUAAAACUUAACUAUUUUGGUGUUUGCUAUUAUCUGAUUCUUUAGCAUGAAGAGGGAAGCAAAAGUAUUUUCCAAGAUUAUAUUAAUAUUUUCUUUCAGUUACAAGCUACAUCAAUUAAUUUCUUUAUAAACUCUACUAGAACAAGUUCCCACUGAUUCCUGGUUACUAUAAACAACAUCUGGGUACUGCACUGGUGCACAAGUUCUGUAAACACAUACUUUUAUAUCCAUCACAUCCUGAUGUUUCACAAGGAUAAAGCUGAUGUUCCCCUAAAAAAUAGAGAAGGCAGAUGCCUGUAGUGAUUUCACCGAAGUUACAACGUGAAGCAUGUGUGAUGUUAGGUACUUUACAGUACUUCUAAAGGGAGAAAGAAUGUGGCCGCAGAAAGGGAAUCCUGCCCGCAUGUUUGAUUCUUGAAAUGCACGUUAAAAGAUUUUUAUAUAUAAUAAAAGGCAAACAGUAAUAGAACCCCGCAGAUGGAGACAACUGUAGCACAGAGAGUGAAAAAUGUCUCACAGUCGGGCAGUGGCAGAACCAGCAAUGAAACACAAACCUCUUGCUCUGCUGGUUUACUCUCCAACUAAUUCACAUAAUAGGGGGUAGGGCUCUUUGCAGUGCUUCAGGCUGAUGGAGGUUACGCCUACAUAAAGUCCACACUUUUACCCUUGUACAAAGCCCCAAGCCCCUUUUACUUGCUUUUGGAGCCCUCACAGAGACCCUGUAGCUCAGAGGGGAUCUGAGUGUGGGUCAAACAGCAGAUAACAGCUGAGAAGGGUUUUAAGAAAAGGUUUCUGGCUGCUUCUUGGCUGUUUGCUUCCCGGCUGAGGAGGGAGCCCAUCUGUGCAAGCCUUCCUCCUUCAUUUCAGUGCUGGCAGCGAGCUGCAGUCUCUGCUUAGGAGCAGUGCCACGAGCUGUGCCUUCCAGGAACAGGAGAGGAUGCAGCGUGGCCGUGUGGGUGUGUGGUGCACCCUUUGGGCCCCAGACGCAGGGACAAGACAAGCACAAAAGGGAGAGUAGGAAAAUGGAAUAUGCACAACUGGUUUAAUGCCAUGGGUUGUACACGUUUCUGAUACCGGCGUUUGCACUCAUUACGUGAUGUGCUUUCUCUUUAAUGGAAUUCUCUUAGACGUGCUGCUGAUAGGCUCUCUUCCCAUCUCUCCUUGAAUUCAAACAUUAUGGCUGAUUGAAAAAUAAGCAUGCAUUUUUCUGCUUUUUUCUUCUUUCAGUGUUUUUUUUUGGUCAGGUGGAAACAAUGAGGUGAACUCAUUUGUGACAGGCCCUUCUUCAGGCCUCUCCAACGUGGUCUGUAACGAGGGCACAGUGGAAAUUCCACAAAGAAGCCCAGAAGCUUUUCAGUUUGGGCAACCGUGUUGUUGUCUGCGUUUUAUUCGCAUCAAUCAGGUUUUUUUCACACCCAUCUUAGCUUCUUAUUGGUACCACAAGUCAACGCUUGCUGGAAAACGCCACCCUUGGAAAACAACCUGUAACGUACGACUGCUGUCUCUUCGUGUAUUUUCUGCUCAGAUCUUAACAUGCGCUUCCUCUGAAGGCCACCAGCGAUAAUAUUCACUCCCUCUCCAGAACCACAAGUCUGAUUGUGGUGCCAUCCAUGUAACAGAAUGCUGUUGGUGUGUGCUGGUGUUCUCUGUUCAUGCACGUAAACCUGGGACUCCCAGGGAACUUAAGAAGCAUGAGCCUUGUUUGUGAAUCUCCAGAUGGGGGCAGACAUUGAGAUGCACGGCUAGAAUAUUAGGCUGGGAUUGAUUACCCCAGUUCAGCUGUCAGGGAGCAGAAAGAAUUAAACCAAAGUCUCCUGGAUCCCAGGAAAAUGGCAUUACCGAUACCUCAACAUUUGGAGCAUCACAUGGCAGUGGAGGGGCAGCCUGAUACAAUGGUGUCUGACGUGGAAGUGCGGAUGAAGCAAAGGGGUGGCGCUGAACUCCUCCAUGUGGAAAAAAUGUGUUAACUCUGCUGCAAUGGAGCCUGAGGAUGGAGCAUGGAGCAUAUAAACUACAGGAUUGCAAUCCAAGAUAACUCGCACAGUUUAAAAUCCCCUAAGUCAUCAGUAAUAGAAUUCUUGCCAAACUCAAUCACUCCCACCCAAAGCUGAAUUAACUUGCCUCCACUGCAGUAACAGCAAUAUUUUUGCUCUGUCUCAAUACAGACUGAGGGAAAAUGAUGUAAUUGAGUAAAACCUUUAUACUUAUCUGCCUCCAGAGUUUCACUUUGGGCAAUCUACCACUAGAUAUGUAAGUACACAUUUCAAAUCAGUAACCCAAAACUUUCAAACACCUCUGCUUUUGAUUUAGAUAUAUGUUGUCAUUGGCCAUCUAGGUAUUAAAAGACAUUGACUGCACCCAUUCUUAUUAAAAGUUUCAACACAAACUAAGAUAGUCAUGUGCUAUACAUGCAUUUUGGGUCUCAGUGUCCUGAUCUCCCCUCAAGUAGAAAACUGCCUCAGAGGUGUGAAUGGAUUUAUAUGAAGAACAUUCUGUAGAAGCUGAGGUCCAGGUUUAAACAUAGACUUUAAUCGGUGUAGCGGAGAUGGUGGGCAUCGAAGAAGUAGCAUCCUGUUAGCCAAGCCUCCAUGUUUGAACUAUGGCACAGGGCUAGAGCUUCAUGUGCUAUUCAGUUUGCCCAUGGAAAACUGCCCAGACUGCAGACUGUCAGUUUUACAUUCACUUGCAAACAAGUAAGUCAGUGUAUGUAGGAGAAUGGCACAAAGAAACAAUGCUACUCCCUGCCUCAUGCUUGUUGUCAAGUCCCAAAGUACACAACUACCCCACCUUCACAGGGAGAAGAAUAAAUGGAAGUGAUGUCUUACUGGAUCAAAUGUUAUCUUCUUUCUCCUUUAUGUCUUUGUUAUUAGUAAUAAACAAAAGCGAGUUUAGCUUGUUCUUAAAAACGACAAACUCUUCUGUUCUGCUCGUGUCAUCAGGACUCAUUGUUUGGGAUUGUUUACCCUUUGCUAGGAGCUAUGAUGACUUUGCAGGACUUGGAGAGCAUGAAGUGAACUGUCCUGGCUUACUCACUGAGGUGUGGCUGGCACUAAAUGUACAAGAAAACAUAUUUAAAGUAACAGUGCAUGUAAAUCUCGUAGCUCUACUUUUUCACUUUAUCAUCUGAAUACUUCAGUAUGAGAGGAAAAAUGAAGAAUGAUUCUCUUUUUGUAACAUCUGUCUCAGGAGGACACCUUCCCAGUGCACAUAGGACUCAACUUUGAGAUAUUUUCUUUUCAAGAGACAUGGGAGUUUUGAACCAGAGAAAAACAAUUUCUGCGCGAGGUUAA
This is a long non-coding RNA of Gallus gallus (chicken), 14420 nucleotides long. Lineage: Eukaryota; Metazoa; Chordata; Aves; Galliformes; Phasianidae. The record is from Ensembl.